This 269-nucleotide ribosomal RNA is filed under the name Bacillus cereus. RNAcentral describes it as "partial 16S ribosomal RNA". It matches the Rfam family "Bacterial small subunit ribosomal RNA", at positions 1 to 257 of the family's 1533-position model. The record is from RNAcentral. Lineage: Bacteria; Bacillati; Bacillota; Bacilli; Caryophanales; Bacillaceae. RNAcentral also lists the same sequence under 1 other name.
UUUAUUGGAGAGUUUGAUCCUGGCUCAGGAUGAACGCUGGCGGCGUGCCUAAUACAUGCAAGUCGAGCGAAUGGAUUAAGAGCUUGCUCUUAUGAAGUUAGCGGCGGACGGGUGAGUAACACGUGGGUAACCUGCCCAUAAGACUGGGAUAACUCCGGGAAACCGGGGCUAAUACCGGAUAACAUUUUGAACCGCAUGGUUCGAAAUUGAAAGGCGGCUUCGGCUGUCACUUAUGGAUGGACCCGCGUCGCAUUAGCUAGUUGGUGAGG